This 477-nucleotide ribosomal RNA is filed under the name uncultured anaerobic ammonium-oxidizing bacterium. RNAcentral describes it as "bacterial SSU rRNA". It matches the Rfam family "Bacterial small subunit ribosomal RNA", at positions 365 to 832 of the family's 1533-position model. The record is from RNAcentral.
UUCGCAAUGCCCGAAAGGGUGACGAAGCGACGCCGCGUGCGGGAAGAAGGCCUUCGGGUUGUAAACCGCUGUCGGGAGUUAGGAAAUGCAAGGAUGUUAAUAGCGUCCUUGCUUGACUAAGGCUCCGGAGGAAGCCACGGCUAACUCUGUGCCAGCAGCCGCGGUAAUACAGAGGCGGCAAGCGUUGUUCGGAAUUAUUGGGCGUAAAGAGCACGUAGGCGGCUGUGUAAGUCGGUUGUGAAAGCCUUCCGCUUAACGGAAGAACGGCAUCCGAUACUGCAUAGCUUGAGUGCGGGAGGGGAGAGUGGAACUUCUGGUGGAGCGGUGAAAUGCGUAGAUAUCAGAAGGAACACCGGCGGCGAAGGCGACUCUCUGGUCCGUAACUGACGCUGAGUGUGCGAAAGCUAGGGGAGCAAACGGGAUUAAAUACCCCGGUAGUCCUAGCCGUAAACGAUGGGCACUAAGUAGAGGGGUUUU